This 460-nucleotide ribosomal RNA is filed under the name uncultured bacterium. RNAcentral describes it as "partial 16S ribosomal RNA". It matches the Rfam family "Bacterial small subunit ribosomal RNA", at positions 338 to 795 of the family's 1533-position model. The record is from RNAcentral.
CCUACGGGUGGCUGCAGUGAGGAAUAUUGGUCAAUGGGCGCGAGCCUGAACCAGCCAAGUAGCGUGAAGGAUGAAUGCCCUACGGGUUGUAAACUUCUUUUAUAAAGGAAUAAAGUGUGGAACGUGUGCCUUUUUGUAUGUACUUUAUGAAUAAGCAUCGGCUAACUCCGUGCCAGCAGCCGCGGUAAUACGGAGGAUCCGAGCGUUAUCCGGAUUUAUUGGGUUUAAAGGGAGCGUAGAUGGGUUUUUAAGUCAGUUGUGAAAGUUAGCGGCUCAACCGUAAAAUUGCAAUUGAUACUGGCAGCCUCGAGUAGAGUUGAGGUAUGCGGAAUGCGUGGUGUAGCGGUGAAAUGCAUAGAUAUCGCGCAGAACCCCGAUUGCGAAGGCAGCAUGCCGGUGCACAACUGACGCUCAGGCACGAAAGCGUGGGUAUCGAACAGGAUUAGAUACCCGGGUAGUC